CAAGUACUCCCUCCGUCCGGAAAUACUUGUCGGAGAAAUGCAUGAAAAUGGAUGUAUCUAGAAUUAAAAUACGUCUAGAUACAUCCAUUCCUCCGACAAGUAUUUCCGGACGGAGGGAGUAUAAA
Non-coding RNA from Triticum aestivum (bread wheat), 125 nucleotides. NCBI's taxonomy places the organism in Eukaryota, Viridiplantae, Streptophyta, Magnoliopsida, Poales, Poaceae. The record is from Rfam.